This 259-nucleotide ribosomal RNA is filed under the name uncultured bacterium. RNAcentral's name for it is "partial 16S ribosomal RNA". It matches the Rfam family "Bacterial small subunit ribosomal RNA", at positions 1241 to 1500 of the family's 1533-position model. The record is from RNAcentral.
AGAGGGAAGCAAGAUAGUGAUAUUAAGCAAAACCCAAAAAGCAGUCUCAGUUCGGAUUGAAGGCUGAAAUUCGCCUUCAUGAAGCCGGAAUUGCUAGUAAUGGCAGGUCAGCAUACUGCCGUGAAUACGUUCCCGGGCCCUGUACACACCGCCCGUCACACCAUGAGAGUCGGGGACACCCGAAGUCCGUAGUCUAACCGCAAGGGGGACGCGGCCGAAGGUGGAUUCGAUAAUUGGGGUGAAGUCGUAACAAGGUAUC